UACGGGGGGGGCAAGCGUUGUUCGGAAUUACUGGGCGUAAAGGGCGCGUAGGCGGCCUUCUAAGUCGGACGUGAAAUCCCUCGGCUUAACCGAGGAACUGCGUCUGAUACUGGAAGGCUUGAAUCCGGGAGAGGGAUGUGGAAUUCCAGGUGUAGCGGUGAAAUGCGUAGAUAUCUGGAGGAACACCGGUGGCGAAGGCGGCUCUCUGGACUGUAACUGACGCUGAGGCGCGAAAGCGUGGGGAGCAAACAGG
Molecule: ribosomal RNA, 253 nt
Filed under: uncultured bacterium
Lineage: Bacteria
Description: partial 16S ribosomal RNA
Rfam family: Bacterial small subunit ribosomal RNA
Source: RNAcentral